RNAcentral lists this ribosomal RNA (301 nucleotides) under uncultured bacterium. RNAcentral's name for it is "partial 16S ribosomal RNA". It matches the Rfam family "Bacterial small subunit ribosomal RNA", at positions 509 to 807 of the family's 1533-position model. The record is from RNAcentral.
CAGCCGCCACGGUAAUACGAGGGGGGCAAGCGUUGUUCGGAAUUACUGGGCGUAAAGCGUGCGCAGGCGGUUUGUUAAGACAGAUGUGAAAUCCCCGGGCUCAACCUGGGAACUGCAUUUGUGACUGGCAAGCUAGAGUGUGGCAGAGGGGGGUGGAAUUCCGCGUGUAGCAGUGAAAUGCGUAGAUAUCUGGAGGAAUACCGGUGGCGAAGGCGGCCCCCUGGACAAAGACUGACGCUCAGGUGCGAAAGCGUGGGGUGCAAACAGGAUUAGAUACCCCUGUAGUCCCUGUCUCUUAUAC